Non-coding RNA from Pelobates cultripes (western spadefoot toad), 262 nucleotides. The record is from the annotation of a GenBank genome assembly. Lineage: Eukaryota; Metazoa; Chordata; Amphibia; Anura; Pelobatidae.
UAUGUAUCUAUAUAUAUAUAUAUUUUAAUUGGGGUAGCCCCCAAAAUAUUGGGACAUAUAUAAAAAAACAACUCUGUUCUGCAGAGUAGCUGUUGGCAUUAUAGUUGUUCAGGAACUUUGUUGACUCUAGAGAACCUCGGGCCAAUCGCACAUCCCCGUGGCGGCGACUUUGCAUGCAAAUGUCAUCCAUAUUAACUUUCGAUGCCAGUUUCUGCGCCUACCAUGGUGACCACGGGUAAUGGGGAAUCAGGUUUCCAUUCCA